GAUUAACAUUGGCGGUACGCAUAACACAUGCAAGUCGUGCGAGAAAGCAGCUUCGGUUGUGAGUAAAGCGGCGAACGGGUGAGUAACACGUUGGAAUCUACCUUUAACUCAGGGAUAGCCCAUCGAAAGAUGGAUUAAUACCGGAUAGUCUCCUCGGAGUAAAGCUUCGGCGGUUAAAGAUGAGCCUGCGUCCUAUCAGCUAGUUGGCGGGGUAAUGGCCCACCAAGGCGACGAUCCGUAGCUGGUCUGAGAGGACGAUCAGUCACACUGGGACUGAGACACGGCCCAGACUCCUACGGGAGGCAGCAGUGGGGAAUCUUGCGCAAUGGGCGAAAGCCUGACGCAGCGACGCCGCGUGCGGGAAGAAGGCCUUCGGGUUGUAAACCGCUUUCAGGAGGGACGAAGCCACUCGGGUUAAUAGCCCAGAGGGUGACGGUACCUCCAGAAGAAGCCCCGGCUAACUACGUGCCAGCCGCCGCCGUAA
Molecule: ribosomal RNA, 484 nt
Filed under: uncultured bacterium
Lineage: Bacteria
Description: partial 16S ribosomal RNA
Rfam family: Bacterial small subunit ribosomal RNA
Source: RNAcentral